GACGAGCGCUGGCGGCGUGCUUAACACAUGCAAGUCGAACGGAAAGGCCCUGCUUUUGUGGGGUGCUCGAGUGGCGAACGGGUGAGUAACACGUGAGUAACCUGCCCUUGACUUUGGGAUAACUUCAGGAAACUGGGGCUAAUACCGGAUAGGAGCUCCUGCUGCAUGGUGGGGGUUGGAAAGUUUCGGCGGUUGGGGAUGGACUCGCGGCUUAUCAGCUUGUUGGUGGGGUAGUGGCUUACCAAGGCUUUGACGGGUAGCCGGCCUGAGAGGGUGACCGGCCACAUUGGGACUGAGAUACGGCCCAGACUCCUACGGGAGGCAGCAGUGGGGAAUAUUGCACAAUGGGCGGAAGCCUGAUGCAGCAACGCCGCGUGCGGGAGGACGGCCUUCGGGUUGUAAACCGCUUUCGCCUGUGACGAAGCGUGAGUGACGGUAAUGGGUAAAGAAGCACCGGCUAACUACGU
This 467-nucleotide ribosomal RNA is filed under the name uncultured bacterium. RNAcentral describes it as "partial 16S ribosomal RNA". It matches the Rfam family "Bacterial small subunit ribosomal RNA", at positions 28 to 506 of the family's 1533-position model. The record is from RNAcentral.